This 2243-nucleotide long non-coding RNA is filed under the name Capsicum annuum. RNAcentral's name for it is "long non-coding RNA (CANN_LNC006409)". The record is from RNAcentral. Lineage: Eukaryota; Viridiplantae; Streptophyta; Magnoliopsida; Solanales; Solanaceae.
AUACAUUGAAUAGAGCGUAUGCAUGUGUAUAUAUUUUAUAAAUUAGUAUAUAUAUAUAUAUAUAUAUAUAUAUACAUUGUAGUAUAUUUUAUUCAAAGUAGUACAUAUACAUUGAAUGGUGCGUAUAUAUAUGUAUAUAUCUUCUAUACACGUGUAUAUUUAAUGUAUACAUGUGUAUAUGUUUUAUAAAUUAGUACACACACACACACAUAUAUAUAUAUAUGUAUAUAUAUGUAUAUAUCUUCUAUACACGUGUAUAUUUAAUGUAUACAUGUGUAUAUGUUUUAUAAAUUAGUACACACACACACACAUAUAUAUAUAUAUAGAUAGAUAUAAUGUAUAUAUAUUAUAUUAUAUUUUAUUUAAACUUUAAAGGCCAAACCCAUCGGUGGCCCCCUAAACUUGACAUGAACUUUCACGUAGACACCUCAAGUGAACGUUGUUUACUUUUGACACCUCAAGUAGCCAUAAACUGUGUCACUUUGACACCUUUUGCUGAUUCAGCAAAGACUCUUUUGGGCGCGUGGCAGCGCCAUUUUAGCCCAUUUUUCUUUUAAUUUAAUCACCUUCUUCCCUAUUUUUUUCAUCCUACAUCUUCCAACCUCCAUUAAUGGAGUAUCCUACAUCUUUCAACCUUCAUUAAUUUUCUUUUGUCAAUUAAUUUUCUAAUUGAACACAGGCGUCUUCUCCUCCAUAUUUUUUAAUCAUAUAUCUGAAAUUCGAGAAGCUAUUAAUGCGAAUUGAAAAUAUGGAUAUUAAGCUUGAAGAUCUAGUUUGAAAAUCUCUUGUUUAUUAAAUUCUUGGUUGAAUUUAGAAAAUAAUUAGAUUAUCUGUGUUAUUUUAAGCUAUUUUAAGUUCCCAAACGUCAAUGUAGCUGUAUAUGAGUUUUUUAGGAAAAAAAAAAAACAGGCUUCUUUCACCCUUAACCAAAGGAAUUAGUUUAAGAGAAUAAACCAGAUUCGGUAAUUGGUAAUCAAUACAUCUCGCUUGGUUCAAUCAAACAUGUCAUGUAGGAAGUGUGUUGGCACCUUUUUACGUUAAAUUAAAACAUGUUCCUUUUUGUUGUAAUGUUGGUGAAAAUUUUUCUUAUAUCAGCUUACAUUUCUGAUUCAAUGAUUGUUGAUUCUUAUGACUAAUGAAAUUGUGAUACCUUCCCCAAUGCAUUUCUGAAAAUUGUUUUACCUUUGCGUGUUUAAUGCACGGAAGUGCUUUUGAACGACUGUGUUCUUUUCAUUUUCCAUAAAGAGGUUGCAACCUCCAUUGAUGGAGAGCUAGAAGAACGAUUGGAUGAGUAAGAUGAAGUUUUGUAAUUAUUUGGUCAAAAGCCACGUGUCAUUAAUUCAAUGGACACCUUAUAAUGUAUUUUAUUUUCUUUUAAAAAAAAAUUGUGGAUGCAUAUAAUGACAUUAAAAGAAAUUGUGGAUGCAUAUAAUGACGUGGCAAUUUAAAAUGAGAUGGCACAAAUUAAUUGGCCAUUUAAUUCAUGCUGGACGCGCGUGUAAUUCAUGCACUAGAGUUGGUGCCAAAGUGACACAGUUUAUGGCUACUUGAGGUGCCAAAAGUGAACGACGUUCACUUGAGGUGCCUAAGUGAAAGAUUGUGUCAAGUUUACGGGGUCAACGAUGGGUUUGGCCAACUUUAAAGUAGUACAUAUACACUGAAUGGUGCGUAUAUAUGUGUAAUUGUGUAUUUAUUAUUUUUUAAAUUCUAAUGCAGUAUAUACUAUAUAUAUAGUGUAUAUAUAUUGUUUAACGUAUUUAAAAUGUAUAUAAAUGGGUAUAUAUAGAGUAUAUUGAAAAAACUUUUUUUUUAUUAUUUUUGACCGGAUUUAACAGGAUUUUUAAUCGGGCUGGGUUAAGUGGGCCGGAUUAGAGCUAUUUUUAAAAAUUUUACUGUUGAAUCCGAACCGGCCCGGCCCACUUAACCCCAACCCGGACCCAGCCCAAUCCACAACCUGGAUAAAUUUAAUGGGCCGAUUUCGGGUUGACUCAGUCCAACCCACUUAACACCCUUAUGUUGCAUUAAUGCUGUUGAGCUGGAAAAAUACGUAUUUGCACGUGUUUUCAAGCUUGUGAAACCAAUAUUUUGCAUUUAAAAAAAAACAAUAAUAAAUUUAGAAAAAAGAAAAAAAAACAAAAUCCUAAACAUUUCUUCUUUGACCCUCCCCACCCACCACACCUAGCCAACCGCCACAAGCCCUGCUCCAUUCGUUCUUCAGCCCUCAGACCCCACCCCACCCCCAC